This is a long non-coding RNA of Lemur catta (Ring-tailed lemur), 166 nucleotides long. RefSeq lists it as uncharacterized. The transcript is spliced from 3 exons. Lineage: Eukaryota; Metazoa; Chordata; Mammalia; Primates; Lemuridae. The record is from RefSeq and is a predicted model, not a curated record.
UGCAUACUAAACGGGACAAAUGGAUCCAAUCCAAUUCUGUUUUAAAUCUUGAUUACUGUCUCGAGAUGCGUAAAGAUGGAGGCUCGACACCUGGGACACCUGGCCAGACCUAGACUUGGGGACCAGGGAGGCAGAUCAAUGGCACCCAAAGUUGCCCACACCUGUG